This 1717-nucleotide long non-coding RNA is filed under the name Monomorium pharaonis (pharaoh ant). RNAcentral describes it as "uncharacterized LOC118647149". The record is from RNAcentral. Lineage: Eukaryota; Metazoa; Arthropoda; Insecta; Hymenoptera; Formicidae.
AAAUAACCAAUAAAAAUAUUAAUAAUUUAAUGCUGAUUUUAAAGCAAAACUUGUCAUGCAGUUUAAAUUACAUAAAAAGUUGGAUUUGUUAUACUAAAAAUAAAGGAUUUUCUAUAAUUACUUUUAUUAAUGAGAAAUAUGAGCUUUGGUAAAGUUUCUUGCAUGGAAAUAUGUUGACCUUUCCAGACAACACGCAUGUCUAAAAGACUUUUUUAAAACGUCUUAAAAGAGGCGUCUUUGAGACUUUACCAAAUGACGUCUUUAUGAGGUCUUAAAAUUCUUUUAUUUUAGACGUCUCUCUUAAAACGUCUAAAAUACGUCUUUUUUAAAGACAUCUUAUUUGAGACGCCAUUUAGACUUCUUCAAAACUUUAAUAAAAGACGUCUUUACGACGUCGAAUGACGCACAUAAUCAAGUCUGCCGUGUGAUGUGAUCAAGUCGAUCGAUGUGCUUAUCCCGUAUCAAUUUUUUGAACCCUCGCACGUAUCGCGUGUGUGUAGGAACGUUUUGUCCCGGUUUGCUGUGUAACGCAGCGGAGUGUGGAUGCGUUAAAGUAGUUAUAUUAGGCGGGUUCUAACUCAAACAAUAAAAUGGGGAAAGGGAGGAGGGGAAAGGGGGGUAAUUACCUGUCACAUAAAUUUCAAAAUUCUUUUGUUCUUAUUGUUUUUUAUAACAAAUGACCUUAUCAUAAAUUUCAAAAUUUCCUUUGGUUAUUGUUCUUUAUAACAAAUGACCCUGUAAUUAAUUUUAAAAUUCUUUUGUUCAUUGUUUCCCUAUGUUCGGAAUUCAGUAUGUAGUGAGCUCGCGCCGUCACGUCAGAUGGCAGCAGCUAUCGAUCAUCGUCCGCGUAGAUCACGGAGCGCCGCGGCAUGCGUGCUAGCGCGUGCGUAACGCCAAAAAUCACUUUGGUACUUGUGCUCUAUAGCGGCGGUUCACGUUGUAUUUCGUGCGAUUGUUUUAACGUAGUUUUGUGCUCAAGUCUAUUCGUGGGAUCUUCAAAUAUCUACUCAGAGAUUGCUCAACGGAAGAACUCAUUCAGGAAUUAAGAGAGACUCAUAAUUAUCGCUCAGGUACAUCACCAUCGAGAGACUCACGCUCACCACACAACGAGCACGCUGGCGCCGCGUGAUACCGGCUCACAGGCAUCAUCAUCACGACCGAAUAAAGAAAUAGUGUGGAGAGAGAAAGAAGAAUCCCUUUCUUUUUGUACGUCGUUUAAAACAAGGUUAAAGAAAAAGAAAGAGAGAAAAGAAUAAAAGAAAGAAAGAAAAAGGAAUUUAACGGGAUUCUCUUUUUCUUCGUUAGCCUCUUAUCAGAGCGUAGUAAUUCCUUAGCGUAUUUCUGUGGUGCUUCUAUUAUAUCGGUCAGAUUUGAACUCGGAUCUUCAACGUAGAAAGUAGACGCACAUCUCUCUGCGUCACAAUCGCUAUCACACCCGGAUUAAGGAGGAGGGGCUAAGAGAAACUAUAGCCCGGGCCUCGUUUGUUAGAGGGCCUUAUCCGAGCUAUUCAAGAAUAUCUUUCAUUUUCGUCAAAAGGCCUCCAGUUGGAGUUAAUAGCCUCGGGCCUCAAAAUACUUUAAUCCGAUCCUGAUCGUUAUAUGUAAUAUAUAAUAUAAUCGCCCGAAAUUUUCUUUAUAUUCAUUAAUAUAUAAGUGAGGAAUUCAAUUAGAUUAAUUUGUUUUUCAAAUAUUUUUUAAUAUAAUUGUAUUUAUUGUU